GAUGAACGCUGGCGGCGUGCUUAACACAUGCAAGUCGAACGAACUGCUUUAAAGGAAGUCUUCGGGUGGAAUUUAAAGUAGUUAGUGGCGGACGGGUGAGUAACGCGUGGGAAACCUGCCCUAUACAGGGGGAUAGCCUCGGGAAACCGGGAUUAAUACCCCAUAAAACUCUAGUAUCGCAUGAUACAUGAGUCAAAGAUUUAUCGGUAUAGGAUGGUCCCGCGUCUGAUUAGCUAGUUGGUGAGGUAACGGCUCACCAAGGCGACGAUCAGUAGCCGGCCUGAGAGGGUGAACGGCCACACUGGAACUGAGACACGGUCCAGACUCCUACGGGUGGCAG
Molecule: ribosomal RNA, 340 nt
Filed under: uncultured Bacillota bacterium
Lineage: Bacteria; Bacillati; Bacillota
Description: bacterial SSU rRNA
Rfam family: Bacterial small subunit ribosomal RNA
Source: RNAcentral